GCCGAUGUAGUUCAGUGGCAGAACAUUUCCUUGGUAAGGAAAAGGUCGUGGGUUCAAUUCUCACCAUCGGCU
This 72-nucleotide transfer RNA is filed under the name Candidatus Pacearchaeota archaeon. RNAcentral's name for it is "tRNA-Thr". It matches the Rfam family "tRNA". From Rfam's summary of the family: Transfer RNA (tRNA) molecules are approximately 80 nucleotides in length. Their secondary structure includes four short double-helical elements and three loops (D, anti-codon, and T loops). RNAcentral also lists the same sequence under 2 other names. The record is from RNAcentral. Lineage: Archaea; Nanobdellati.